Molecule: ribosomal RNA, 497 nt
Filed under: uncultured bacterium
Lineage: Bacteria
Description: partial 16S ribosomal RNA
Rfam family: Bacterial small subunit ribosomal RNA
Source: RNAcentral
GAUGAACGCUGGCGGCGUGCCUAAUACAUGCAAGUCGAGCGAACAGACGAGGAGCUUGCUCCUCUGACGUUAGCGGCGGACGGGUGAGUAACACGUGGAUAACCUACCUAUAAGACUGGGAUAACUUCGGGAAACCGGAGCUAAUACCGGAUAAUAUAUUGAACCGCAUGGUUCAAUAGUGAAAGACGGUUUUGCUGUCACUUAUAGAUGGAUCCGCGCCGCAUUAGCUAGUUGGUAAGGUAACGGCUUACCAAGGCAACGAUGCGUAGCCGACCUGAGAGGGGGAUCGGCCACACUUGAACUUAGACACGGUCCAGACUCCUACGGGAGGCAGCAGUAGGGAAUCUUCCGCAAUGGGCGAAAGCCUGACGGAGCAACGCCGCGUGAGUGAUGAAGGUCCUCGGAUCGUAAAACUCUGUUAUUAGGGAAGAACAAAUGUGUAAGUAACUAUGCACGUCUUGACGGUACCUAAUCAGAAAGCCACGGCUAACUACGUG